RNAcentral lists this ribosomal RNA (465 nucleotides) under uncultured Selenomonas sp. Its description in RNAcentral is "bacterial SSU rRNA". It matches the Rfam family "Bacterial small subunit ribosomal RNA", at positions 338 to 795 of the family's 1533-position model. Lineage: Bacteria; Bacillati; Bacillota; Negativicutes; Selenomonadales; Selenomonadaceae. The record is from RNAcentral.
CCUACGGGAGGCAGCAGUGGGGAAUCUUCCGCAAUGGGCGCAAGCCUGACGGAGCAACGCCGCGUGAGUGAAGAAGGUCUUCGGAUCGUAAAGCUCUGUUGACGGGGACGAACGUGCGGAGUGCGAACAGCGCUUUGUAAUGACGGUACCUGUCGAGGAAGCCACGGCUAACUACGUGCCAGCAGCCGCGGUAAUACGUAGGUGGCGAGCGUUGUCCGGAAUCAUUGGGCGUAAAGGGAGCGCAGGCGGGCCGGUAAGUCUUACUUAAAAGUGCGGGGCUCAACCCCGUGAUGGGAGAGAAACUAUCGGUCUUGAGUACAGGAGAGGAAAGCGGAAUUCCCAGUGUAGCGGUGAAAUGCGUAGAUAUUGGGAAGAACACCAGUGGCGAAGGCGGCUUUCUGGACUGCAACUGACGCUGAGGCUCGAAAGCCAGGGGAGCGAACGGGAUUAGAUACCCGUGUAGUC